This 27-nucleotide non-coding RNA is filed under the name Cricetulus griseus (Chinese hamster). The record is from RNAcentral. Lineage: Eukaryota; Metazoa; Chordata; Mammalia; Rodentia; Cricetidae.
AGAAGUGAGAGGGAGAUAGAGCAGAAA